This 8951-nucleotide long non-coding RNA is filed under the name Equus caballus (horse). RNAcentral describes it as "lncRNA (ENSECAG00000045146.1)". Lineage: Eukaryota; Metazoa; Chordata; Mammalia; Perissodactyla; Equidae. The record is from RNAcentral.
GAGUUUUUCUCUACCUAGGAGGGAAAGACUGGGUUUUUCCAACACAGACUCCCAGCAGGCUACUGCUCUGCCAGGUGGUGAGCUCUGUGCAAGAGAACAGGAACUGGAGAGCUGGGGGAGCUGGUCACGUUAGCUUCAUAGUUAGGUAAAAAGUUUGUUUUAGGUGCCAUGCCUCUUCAAUACUUGGGCUCCCUUUUCUGGAGAAACAAGAGGACCACAUGGUUCUGGUGGCUUUCGAGGACACAUUCAUUUUCUGUGUGUGUGUUUUCGUCGACAUAUGUCUCCAUCACAAACUUGGCUCUGCUGACACAAAUCUUAACUGCUGUCCUUCCAACCGCUCAUCGGUGUGAUGAAUACAAAGACAGUGACUCUUCCCUGGGUUAGCCCCUGCCCCAUGGGUGCUGCAGAUGAAGUGGACUCUUACCCACACUGCUGGGCCCGUCAUAGCUCCCCAGGGGCUGUUACAGGCUGGGACAACCUUUUUGUGAGAGCUCUGCGUCUCGUCCUAGAUGGGAAGACCUGGGUGCCUUUUGGCUUCCUCGCUCUUGUCACUCCAGAUUUUACUAUCAUUCUUUCCCAAUCCUCAGAGUGCCAGGAAGACCCUUCUUCCUGCAUUUAACGAGCCCCUGGUUCUUGGGCAUCCCUAGGGUCCUGGAAAUUUUCCUGGGCUCUAGUGUGGGCUUGAGUCACAGCUUUGCUGUACCACAUGUUUCCAUUGCUGGGAAGGAAAAGAAAGAAAAACAGCCCCAGAAAAGGAGAGGGAAUUUCUAUUUGGCAGUGUAGCUUUUUUUAAAUUGUAUUCAUUGAUCAGCCUGAAGUACAUAAAACAAACAAAUAUACCCACACAGACACUUCACCUCGUGAAAUUGAAGUUACCACAAAUAACUCUCACAUUCCAUACGCAAGAAGUUCACGUAACAGUAGCACAGCCUUCUCAGAGCAAAUGUGUGUGUGUCUCAUUAGAGACCCUGAGUUACAUUUCAUAGUACAUUUUGGUUGUCAGCCUUUAUGAACCCGCUGCCCAUCCUCUUUCCUAAUUUCUGUGGAAGGAAGGUAAGUGGGGUACUGUGGGCUGAUGGGAGAGUGCUGGGAGUAUGGAUUCAGUGGGCACAAAAAGAGCCAUCACUGUGUGUGGCUCGCCCUUUGGACUUAAACAUCUAGAAAUCCACCUGAGAACAGAGGCAUCAUUUCCUGACUACAAAUGAUUGAUUCUAGGAACCCUUUGUUACGUGAGUGCUUAGAUAUCCAAUUUUAUAGUUAUUACACAAUUACACAUGCACACACCUACGGAAAGAUAAUCUAUUACUUGAUGAAAAAAUAAUCUUAGUUAUACCAAAGAGGUAUCAUAUAACUUGUGCUUAUUACCUUAAGCUGAUAAAUAUCCUUCCAAUUUAUGAAUAAGUUUGAUCACACAAUAAUUUGCUGCAGUUAACUCUCUUAGAAGUCACCAAAAGAAUCUUUAAAGUCUUACUGAACAGAUAAAACAACUUUACUCUUCAUAAGUCAAACAAAGACCUUUUUCUGGAGCUGGGACGGAAAUUCAAGUCUGCUACUUGAUUGUCUCCUAUCAUCAAAUAAUGUAGGGACAAAUUAAGAAACACACGGAAGCACAUGAACAAAGAGAGCAGGCAUACUGGGAAGUUAGUUAUUUAUUUACUUUGUAAUUACAAACACUUAUAUAGCAGUUAUGAAGUGUCAGGCAUGGUUCCAUUUAAAAUAUUGACUCUUGAAUAGUUUAAUAGUUCAAAUGCGGCAGAAACAAUAGAUAUCUGUAGGAUCUGACACAAAAAAGAGCAUCACUAGCAUGUCUGAACAUGGAAUUACUGUGAGCAGUGGGUCAACCUGUAGCUCUGCAUUCUGUCCAGACAUUCUUACAGCACGUUCCCAGUGGAUCACUUCUCACCGAUACAGUCUGUGCGCUCACCACUUCUCAAGGUGCUAAGCAUUGCAACCCUACUUUCCUGUUCUGAUCAAGGUUUUCCUUUUCUCUGCACCUUCUAACAGUUCUUUAACAUCCUAACCAUGACUCAAAAUCCAAUUCUAUAAAUGCCUCCUUUAAAAGAAUUUCAGAGAACCUUGCAAAGUCGAUAUGUCCACAUGCAUCAUUCCACUUCUAGUAAACCUCUUUUAGCAUUCGUUUGGUAGCAGAAUCAUCUAUAGCUAUGUCUUACUUUUGUCCUGGAUCGCAGAGUUUUGGAGAGCAGGAACUACUUUGGAAAGAUACAAGCAAAAUGGAGGAAUUUUGAGAUUCUGUGGGCCCAGGCAUACCUCUUCCAGAAAAGGCCUAUGUAGGGUUUGAGCCAUGUGACUUACUUGCCUAAGGUCAUAUGUCUAGUUUGUGGCACAGGUAGGCCUAUCACAAAGUCUCUUGACUCUCAGUCCUGUGUUCUUGACCCCACAGAGCUCAACACAAUUUUGACCUGAUUGUCCUUCUAUGAUAAGGAUGGCCUUCCAGUAAGCCAAUGAGUAGAUACUGGGCACUCAAAUAUGCCUAGCGUAGCAAACAUAGGACUAAGGAAGAAAUAAGGGAAAACUAAAAAGAACCUAUAAUGUACUUAUUAAUAGGCCACCAAAUAGAAGUUUUUAGCCUUCAUCCUUAUAAUAAAGUACCAUUUUGAAGAAAUAUCCUAGUACUUUUCCUCAUUUAUGAACUGUAGAUGAUACAGGCUGUCACUAGAUCUGAACAAAACACAUGUGUUCACUUUAGUAUCAUAAAUCUCAUCUUCACUGUGCUAUAUUUUGCUUAUGACUCGUUUACGAGUUGUGCAUCUAUGUUCAUGAAGGAGAUUGUGGUUUUUCUUGAAAUGUGAGGUUCCUGGUCUCGUUAACAGCAAUGCCACAUCCUCCACUGCAGUCUCCGAGUUUGCCCAUUUCUUUGGUUCCAGCCUUCUCUGCUAGGAAGCACAAUGCUGAUGUCUGCAUUGGAACGUGCGGUAUAUUCCAGCAAGGUGGAGGCAAUGAAAGAGCAUGAGAGAAAUCCACCAGUGCUUCAGAUAAAGAAAUGAAAAUUCUUGGGGAAAUGCAAAUGGACACAAAAGCCAUUAAAGAGAGUUGAGUUCCUGAAGGCAAGGUUGUUUUCACAUUCAAAAGAAUUAACCAUUAUUACAGAUCAUGUUAACAGAAUGAAUGAGAAAAUCCAAUGAUCAUCGCAGCCUUGAAGAAACAGUUGGUGCAAUUCAAUAUUUUAGACGACUUAUUUUCCCACUGCAUCAUAUUCUUGACAAUCUUAAUUUAGCUUUCUUAUAUUUCACCAACUUUAAAGCUAACCCUGUUCGGUACUUGUUCUAGACCUCCGUGUCCAUUUCUUGUGAAGACCUUAGGCAUCUUUUUGAAGACGCCCCACCAUAGAUUUCCUGAAGAUUCUCUGGGUGAGUACAGAAGUCACUAUCUUCUAGGGAAGAGUGUAAGGAAAUGGGGCCUCAAUCAGGCAUUCCCAGGGAGGCCAGCUGUUGGACAGUCUCUGUGGCGCAGCCUGGGACCUCACGGUACUGCUGAGGAAAGCAGAAACGAAAGGAACACCACUCGGGUGGCCGGCAGCUACUCAGAGCAAGGGUCUCAGCAGCUGCCUCCUGGGAUCUGCAGACCAGAGGGGGAGCCAUUCCUCCAAAUGGGGACCAAGGGCUGGGAGCCAUGACUGUGAUCAGUGAGUCCCGCUUUCAGGCACUUCCGCACAAGAGUUCUGGGUCUGUUAGGGCCUCCUCACAGCCAGCUGCCCAGGUCAGGGACUGACAUGACUCAGGCCUCACGCGUGUUCCCUGAAUUGGCCUGCCUGCCAGCUCAGAGAGAGGAUGAGGAGCGAAUGUGUUUUAAAAUGAAAAUCAAUCGGAAAGCUCUUCCAGGAAACCUGACCCAACUGGAAUAGUGUCAAUAGUAGAGGGGAACCCCUGGUAUUAAAUAAAGACCGCCCACCCCAAAUUUAGGGAAAUUGGAUUGUUUCCCUGACAUACACGAUGAUUUCUAUCUCUGUCAUAGCAGAAGACAGAAGUACAGGAAUUGCCUGCUGCUCCGAUAUUAAGACGAGUUUCAGAAAGGUUCCCUUUGCUCUUCUAUUCAGUAGAGAAGCGAUAGGAAGGCCAGGAACACACUGACACUUUCUUGCUCUGUUGGGAUUCAUUGGAUUCCGUUACCAUUUAAUCUAGUGAUUCUGCGCUAGUAUUCAAAUGAGAAACUGAAGUUGUCUGUUCAUUCACAAAUAAUUUGAGUCCACAGCGACGAUGAGUUUCUUCUUAAUUCAAGUGGAAAUCCAGUUCAUUCAGGGGACCUGCUCCAUAGGUGUGGCUCUCUGUCUACUUAAUGUUCUCUGGAGACGAAGAACAAAGAGCUUGUGACAGGUUAAAGGUCAGGGGUCUCCUGUCCAGAUACGUUCUGAUGGUGUUUUAUUAAAUGUGGUGAUACCUGUCCCUCCCACGUCCUCGGCACCUGUCGUGCGUUAGGUAACGGCAUUUUUUUCCUGAGGAAAUGGCUCAAUCUAAGAUAUGGUGUUAGGGUUACUCUCUCUGCCUGUUUCAGCCUUUCAACCUCUAAUGCGUGUUGCAUUCUUUCUAAGUUCCUGGAGGCGGGCCCAUUUUCAAACCUUCGUUACUCAUUGCCAUUGAUAUUUACUGUGCAGAAAAAUUUAGGUUCACACAAAAACCUUCACCAGAAGUUCAUAGCAGCUUUACGCAUAGGGGACAAAAUUAUAAAAACCAAAAACUGUCCUUCAGUAGGUAAGUGGUUAAACUCUGGUGGCACUUUGUCUCCUUCUCCCAGGUCCCACCCUACGUGCACAGUGUCCCAUCAUCAGAUCCUGCCGCCACACACUCACCCCCCGGCUCCAUUCCCCAGGAGGAGAAGGCAGGUGCAGGAGAGCAGGGCCCUGUGCUCCUCUGGGCAGAGGGGACAGGCCCGCAGCAGCCUCUGUGCUCCCCAACCGCCCACCCUCAGAGGCUGGAGCUCAGUCGUGGUCGUCGCUGCUGUUCCAGACUGUGACAAGGACAGAGGGAGGGCGACGCUGGGCUGAGGGGGUUGCGCAGGCCCAUCUCCAUGGCAGCUUCAGCAGGGACAGAAGAAGCUCCUGGGGCAGCGUCAUCUAUUCCCACCAAGAGCUCGGGGUGCAGGGCAAGCUUUCCCUCUCCGGACUCAGGGCCAGCACUGCCCCACACUCCCCUCCCCGCCCUGUGACCUGUGAAUCUGUCUCUACACUUCCUGGAGCCUCUGCAAACCCCCUCCCUACAGCCCCAGAAGCUCAAGGGCCAGAGAACGCAGGAGAGGACGGGUGGGGCCCAUCCUGGGCUGGGGUCUAGAGGUUUUGCUCCUCUGGAAAUAUCCUAAAGCUUCCAUUUGUUUUUGUAAGGAUGGCGUGAUGGGUACUUCGCGUGCAAUGAGGGAGUUGGGGUCAGGGCGCGUGAGCCACGCUGCAGUCAGCCUCCCCGCAUGGCCCUGUCCCUUCUGGAAGCCACAGCAGACACUCAGGGAGGGCGGAGCCUGACCCUGCUUCUACCCCUAGCAGGGCAAGACGGAGGCCACCAGGUCUCAGGAGAAAAAACAUGUAUUUGGGGAAAAUUGGGGUUGGAAGUCACCAUCACCACAGAGGGUGAGGUAAGGAGAAAAACUAGAAGUCCUUGGCGAACCCUCAGUCUCUCUCCCAGUGCCCAGACAAAGGAUGAUACUGUCGAUGGCGCCUGAACAGCCCUGCCAUCCGACGCCGAGCUGCGUGUGACCCGUGCCUGGCUCUGGGCGGUGGCUGACGCGGGCUUGCCUUUGCAAGGGGCUCCUCUGGUGCUUCCUCCUUCUUGGGCCUCAGGCAGGGCAGGAAGCGUCUCAACAUUUUUCUGAAAGGGCUGACGUGAAAAACCUCUUCUUUUUCAGGCAGGGCCUGGAGGGGUUUGGUCCCGAGGGCGUCUCCUGUUCCUCCGACCUGGCUCCAAGACUGGGACCCUGACUCGCCCUCCAGUGUUGCCACCCCACGGCAGGGCUCUGGUGACGCCCCACCUCCACUCUCUUUCAGAGGCUCGUUCCUGGCCAUUGCUGACCCUGGACUCAGGUGUAGACGGCCUUGCUUGGCCCCCACGACCGUCCCGCUCUGCCCAUUUCUGUCCGAGAGGCUGAAUGCGAAGCUCGGAGAAGGCGGCCGGCCCUGCUGUCCCAUCAGAGAGGCCUCAGAGGGCCCACAGCCAUUGCCAGGCCUUCGUUUGUGUUCUUUUCCUGAUUUCCAUCUUGAGCAGCUUUGGCGCAUCAGGGUUGGCAACUGAGGGGCUAUCCGUCUCUCCCUCCCUAUGUGUGGGGCCUCCCCGGAAUGAGGCUACUGGUCGGUGGCAGGACAGGUGCCCUUGCUGGGACUGGAGGUGUGCUGACCCGGGGAAGAACAAGACCUUGAUCAUGUUCCACCGGGAGAGGAACUCGACGCGCCAGCUCAUGCGGCCGUGGCCUGAGUUGGGAAAUGGCCAACAGGAGUGAGCUGGAGCUGUGCUCAUGGCAGUAGUGUCCAGUGGGAUUCCGGUCAAGUCAGCUGGAGGUUCUGCUGGCAGGGUGGAGGCCAGAGGUAUAGGGGUGUGGGUCAGAGGACUCAGGGAAUGUGCUGGAGUCACGGUGAGAGUAGCACCUGCCACAGGCUUUCCGCAUGGCUGCUGGGCUCUGGCGUAUGCUGUGUUGCUCGCCUCCCCAGGGUAGUCUUGACAUGAUGAGCGAUGGGAGCAUCCCUUGGAAGACAGCCUCCCUGGGGAGCUGCGGGAGACAGGAGGCACCAGCUGCAGCCGGGAGCAGAGGGGCCCGGGACAGCAGGGCAGUCCAGGCGGGGGUGGCCCCUUGGGAGCCAUGGCCCUCCAUGGCCCCACCUCCACUUCACCAAAUUCUCCUGCUCUCCCUCACCGCAGGCCUUUGGCCACCCCUGUCCCCAUGGCUCCCCUCCCAGCUCUGCCCCAAUCUGCCUGCAGCCCUGGGGCCACACCAGAGACUCUGGGAGCAAGAAGUCCGGGAGAGAAGGGCAAGAUCCCUUACCUGUGCGAAAGCGACACCUGGCCCCGCACUUCUGCCAGGCCCUUCCCAGCAGCUCUGGAAGCUAGAAAUCCGGAGACUGGGUCACAGCACUGAAAGCGGGGCGGGGGCGGCGGGGGCGGUGGAUAGGGCUCUUACAGGAGGCUGCGUGCACUGUGCCUUUAGGGGAGUCUGUUGGGAGGUCAGACUGUCGAACCUGGGCACCAGUGUCCAAGGCCACCGGAUCCCUGAUGGGGCUGGCAAGGCUGCUGAUGGGUUGAGCUAUGUCAUUGACCACGCGCUUCCACCUCCACCACAGCCCACAUGCCCCGGCUGGACGAGACCCUGUUCCAGGCCCCUCCUGGCCCGGGCCCUGGUUCCCAGCACAGAAUGUGGCAAGUCCUCAGGUUUUCGUCUCCCUCCCGCAAACCUCCCUGAGUGUUCUGUUUCCUGAGGGACGGGUUCUGCCCCUGGCAUCCUCGAGCCCGUGGAGCUGGGCACUCAGGGACAGGAGAUGGGGGGGCCAGCUCUGGGGCACGGGGCUGAAUGGCAGGAGCUUACCUUUCAAAGCUCCCCUUUUCUUCCUGCUCCUGCUGCUCUUCCCUCUUGGCUCCACUUGACGCUGAAGUGAGAGAAAAAAGAAGCAGCUGUGGGGGCUCCCUCUCCUGUCUCUGGACCAGCCGUGGACACUUAGCGCUUAUGAGGAAGAUGACUGCCUACACUCAGCUCCUGGCGCCCGGGGGUGUUUCUUUCCUUUUACUCAUUUUUGAAGUGGAGACUAGAACAUGAAACGGAUCUUUGGUGUCUUCCUUCUUUGGAGAACGUGAGGAAGGAUGAUUUUCUGUGUGAGACCCACCAUGGAUUUCUUUCAUCACUGUUCCUCUGUUCAAGAAUCACGCACAUUCGCAGACGUCCAGAAGCUUCUGAGCUUCCUCAGGGAGGACUCUGCUUCCCGAGGCCCGAGCCCCACUCCAGACCCUGCCUGGAGGCUCUCGGGGGCUCAGCACUGCCCUCAGAUCAGUCCCGACAGAGGAAAGGCCUGCUCAAGACGCCUGCCCCAGGAAGGCGGUGGGGGAACCAGAGCUCAAGACCUGUCCUCCCACACAGAUCCCACUCAGCAUCCCUUCCUCAGCCUCUGGUCACUGGACUGGGGACUUUCCCUGGAGCCCUCUACCACACCUGGACUCCUGCUCUGAGAUCUUCCGAGGGAAAUCCUCGUGCCCUCUCUAAUCCCUGCUCGCCCAGCCUGGCUUGUCCGUGGAAGGAUGAUGUUGUAUUCUCUGCCAGUUCCGGAGUCCCUCUACUUUGAUUCAGAAUCUUGGAAAUGACAGUGGAACAGAAGAGAGACUCAUCUUCUGGUGGGUCUCUGCCCAGGGUUUCUUACCUUCCUUAUGUUUCUGCGUUCACAAGGUGGUCGUGAGGAUGGAUUCCUCUGCAGGGAGGGAAGGCACAGGAGGAAGAGCCCCAGUCCACACAGGAAGGGGAGGAUGGUCCCAAUCACCCAGGAAGUGGAACUGGAGCUCGGCCAGGUAGCAAAGAGGCUUUUCAGAAACAUGAGAGGAUUCUGCAUGUCUGAAACGCAGUGCUGCCCUCAGGCGACUGAGCUCUGGGAGUGGCUUGGAGAUUAUUACCCCAGGCCCCCAUGACAGAAGUGCGGCCUUGUCACAAAGGGCUCUUGAGGGCUGGGGAGGGGACAGCAGGGGAGCAGGCUGGACCAGAGCCCCUCCCCCACCCUCUAGCCUACGUCUCCCUCCCUCUACCCUCCUGGGCCUUCUAGACCUUAGCUAGUUUUCUAUGUCUUCCCCCUGGAAGCCAGAGGUCACCGGGUUCCUUGCGUCUCCUGGAUUCUUGGUUUGAAGCCAGCUAUCUCAUGGCCUUCGAAAGUCUGAAGUUCUCCCAGGAAUUUGAUCUAGUUCCCAGGGAUUCAUACCCUGAUCCUGCUCUGUCCUCAACUCUGAUUGCUGUUUUCACCUCACCUAGUGACUUUGCGUGUGUGUGUG